Meleagris gallopavo (turkey) is the source of this 933-nucleotide non-coding RNA. The record is from RefSeq and is a predicted model, not a curated record. NCBI's taxonomy places the organism in Eukaryota, Metazoa, Chordata, Aves, Galliformes, Phasianidae.
ACCACUGAUUGAUCACCUGAAGCAAGGACUGAGUCAGCCAUGGGAGCACAGGUGAAGGCGGUUCAGCUGGUGACUGGAAGGUGUGGAACCUGGCUGUAACACCAACUGUAACAAUGAUAGUCCUACAGAUUUUGCCACAGACUCACUAUAAAACACCUCUGAAAACUUCUACGUUUUAUGGAGUAGUUUUUCCCAUCUGACCUGGCUGUUUUUCAGUUUCCUAUGUGUGGCACAGCCAUCAGCCUGCUGGAAGGCUCUCAGUGUCCCCACUGGGUGCUGUUCCUCAGCAGCUGGGAAGAAGGAAGAGUGGCCCUUCGUGCUCACUGUAACAUCUGUUUCACCCACAACAUGCUGCAGCCGUUGAGGACAGGACCUGAGGUUUUCCAAAGAUGUUUAAUGAUGACAAAAAUAAUUCAAUAAGCUGACCAAAAUAAGGUACCCUACAAUGUUCUCCUUCUUGGAUAAAGCACAUAGUUAUCGAAGGUCAUUAGCUGUGCUGCAGAAGAGCUCUCCACACUGAGAACAGAUAGCCUACCCCUGAGGUAUCAGCACAAGGAGGAAUCACUUCUGUCCCUGCUGCGAACAGCCACUUUCUAUCAGCCUCAGUACUACAUCCUCAGCACGACAUGAUAGGGAUCAACAUCAUGCAUCCAGCGCCUGUAUGAUUUCAAGGGGAUAUGGAGAAGGUUCAUACUGCUCCUAGUCACCUUUCCAGAAUGUAUUCCCAUCCCAUGCAACCAUGUCAAUGUAAUGAGAUUACAGCACAAUUAUUUCCAAGCUCAUGCUCCUCCUUAGCUACAUCUCAACCUAGAGAUGCAGCCUUCUUUCCCUGAAGAUGCAGUGGAAUUUGUCUCCUCUAUCACUUCUGCUGACAAAAUGUUAAUAAUGUCACUGGGAAUACCAUGUGCUUUAUGGUCAGCUGUCUUUGUUUUA